RNAcentral lists this ribosomal RNA (253 nucleotides) under uncultured bacterium. RNAcentral's name for it is "partial 16S ribosomal RNA". It matches the Rfam family "Bacterial small subunit ribosomal RNA", at positions 524 to 776 of the family's 1533-position model. The record is from RNAcentral.
GACGGAGGAUGCAAGCGUUUUCCGGAAUGAUUGGGCGUAAAGCGUCCGCAGGUGGCAGUUCAAGUCUGCUGUCAAAGACCGGGGCUUAACUUCGGAAAGGCAGUGGAAACUGAACAGCUAGAGUAUGGUAGGGGCAGAGGGAAUUCCUGGUGUAGCGGUGAAAUGCGUAGAGAUCAGGAAGAACAUCGGUGGCGAAGGCGCUCUGCUGGACCAUAACUGACACUCAGGGACGAAAGCUAGGGGAGCGAAUGGG